RNAcentral lists this ribosomal RNA (505 nucleotides) under uncultured diatom. RNAcentral describes it as "bacterial SSU rRNA". It matches the Rfam family "Bacterial small subunit ribosomal RNA", at positions 1 to 553 of the family's 1533-position model. Lineage: Eukaryota; Bacillariophyta. The record is from RNAcentral.
UGAGUUUGAUUAUGGCUCAGGAUGAACGCUGGCGGUAUGCCUUAUACAUGCAAGUCGUACGGGGGUUUUUAACUUAAGUGGCGGACGGGUGAGUAACACGUAAGAAUUUGCCUUUAGGAGGGGGACAACAACUCGAAAGGGUUGCUAAUACCCCAUAUGCUUUCGAGUGAAACGGAUUUUCCGCCUAAAGAGAAGCUUGCGGCUGAUUAGCUUGUUGGUAAGGUAAUGGCUUACCAAGGCGACGAUCAGUAUCUGGUUUGAGAGGAUGAUCAGACACACUGGAACUGAGACACGGUCCAGACUCCUACGGGAGGCAGCAGUAGGGAAUUUUCCGCAAUGGGCGAAAGCCUGACGGAGCAAUACCGCGUGAGGGAUGACUGCCUAUGGGUUGUAAACCUCUUUUUUCAGGGAGGAACAUAAUGACGUGUACCUGAAGAAUAAGCAUCGGCUAACUCCGUGCCAGCAGCCGCGGUAAGACGGAGGAUGCAAGUGUUAUCCGGAAUCA